This is a long non-coding RNA of Chrysemys picta bellii (western painted turtle), 1271 nucleotides long. RefSeq lists it as uncharacterized. Lineage: Eukaryota; Metazoa; Chordata; Testudines; Emydidae. The record is from RefSeq and is a predicted model, not a curated record.
UGGUAGUUCUGGUACUGCUGGACCUCCUCUGCGUCAGGCGCGUACAGCAGGAGCUGCUUGAUGUGAGAGGACUCCAGGCGGUCGCUCUCCAUUGUCAUGAGAAUUUGGCGCAGCUCGAUGUGCGAGAGCUUGAGUGCACAGGGGAUGGAGGACACCUCACAGCAUUCCCAUGCAGGAGCCCGGCAGAAUGGUGACCUGUCACUCUACUGAAUGCUAGGCAGCAGGGCCAAGCUAAGUGUCCACUUGCAUUCCUUGGAUUCAAGGGGGAGUGGCCAAGUUGUCUGGGGUCACAGUCCAGCCCUCCCCCCUCCCCCAUCUAUGUGCCUGCUGGGGCCUCAUCCAGAGGCAGGCUCUGGGGCAAUGCACACCGAUCCAUACUGGAGCAGUUGUAAAGAUCAGCUGAGUGUGCUGCCCUCAGGUGCUUCUGGUCAUGUUCGGCAGCGUCCUCUGCUUUGCACCUCCUCCCUGCCUGCCACUCUCCACAAUGCAGGGAGAAAAGCCUCAUUCCUGGGGCUGCCCCAUUAUCUGGAGCGCUAUCCACCCCACUCCACGCCAGUGAGUCACAGCCCAUCUUUAUAGUUCUCCUUCAAGCCUUCCUCUCGUUAGCUUAAGGCUGACUGUCUCUGCUGGCCUACAAAGGACACUGUAUUGCAGUGGUCUCUAUUGUCCUGUACUGACCACUGCACCCAGCCAAGCUGGGAUGUACCUAUUUAUCUUUGCUCUCUUUUUACCUUUCCAGUUCUCUAUACUGCCAGGUACUGCCGUUCCAUCUCAGGACCUGUUUAGGGUUUUGCUUCCACUCUGACAUUUUACUUACAUGUGUUGUAGGCCUUUUUGUGAGACAAAAUUUCAACCACGUCUUUCUUUUUAAAGGAUUCAGGCAACAGAGUUGGCUCUGGAAGAGAAACUGAAAGAUUUAAUCAGAUGUAAGGACGGGCUCAGUUGACUCCAGCACCGAGGAAACUGGGCUGAAAACAGUGAGAUAAUGAAUGAGAGUGAGGAGACAUGAUGCUUUGGGCACAGGAAUGGCUCCGGGAAUCCUUGAAUUCUGUAAUUCAAAGAUCUCCUGAAUGGAAGACUCACGCUGAGCUGAAAAAGGUAAAACAAGAGGUUUAUGAGUUCCAAAAUGAAGCUCCAGGUCGAGGUAUUUGACCAUAUCACUCAGUUUGUCAUAAUCUGAGUCUUCUCCAAGCUGCAGGAGGAGGAAUAUAGUCAGUAAGACCCUGUCCCAGGAGAUCUCCAUGCUGCACAUCCCCAUUCUGCGCUGCAUU